RNAcentral lists this long non-coding RNA (2376 nucleotides) under Danio rerio (zebrafish). Its description in RNAcentral is "lncRNA si:ch211-195b13.9 (ENSDARG00000097873.2)". Lineage: Eukaryota; Metazoa; Chordata; Actinopteri; Cypriniformes; Danionidae. The record is from RNAcentral.
CCAACUUCUACUUUAUUUCACAAGUCUUCCAUGCUCCUUUCUUAACAAAGAGCUUAAUUAUCACAGAGAGGAGAGUUCCUCAAGUAAAUCAUUUAAGCAUGUAAAUAAUGUCUUUGGAAUGAUAAUUUACUUCUUAUAGCAUGGGAGCGGCAGCGAGCCAUCAAGAACCAUCUGCUGACCAAAAGGAAUUUUGUUUAAACUCAUUUAUCAUAACAGUUGGUAUUCUCACCUGAAAGUCUACUCAAGGUCUGGGAACGGAAGAAAAUCACUUUUAUUGUUGUUCUUAAUUUACAUUUGAAGUGAAAGCUUAUUAACAUGUUAAGCUGGAAGAAACAGUAUAAGAUGUUUAAACCGAGGAUGAUCGGGAUUCAGUUCCAACUCCGAUGAAUCCGAAGUGUUGUCUCCACUUUGACACUACUUUUCUGGAAUAAAACUUAGUUUUUUCUUCAAGACGUUCUCAUCUAUUUUCUCACAUUGGCGAGCCAGGCAGCGCGGGGUUUUUCCUAAAACAAAUGAGGAUUCUUAAACCAGAAGCGAUGUGGUGAUGGAUCCUCACAGUGGUUCUACCAAUGACAGUGAUGAUGCAAGAAUGCCCAGAAAUGCAACCAGCACCUCCCUCUGGCAGAGUAACUUAACCAUAUAAAGGAGUACUGGUCAACAAUAUUCAAUGGAUCCAUGUUCCAGUCCUAUUAAAGCUGACAGCAUGGUCCCCAGAUCUGGAUGAGCGAUGCCAAAGAGAAAGAAUGAAAGAAAUGUACAAAGAUCUUUUGACAACAGCGUUCCUGAUAUGCCAAGGAGCUGUAGCUACCAGCUCAACCACAAGACAACUGUCAAGAGAACCCCAAACUAAUUACUUAGAGAAAAUAUCAUCUGGACAAAAACUGUUAGGAUUGGUUGACAACAUACUAGGAGCCACUGGAACAGGUUUAGGCAUAUCAAACUGGAUCAGCACUAAAGAACUUUAACAAAAAAGAACUCAAACUUAAAACUCUUGCUGAGAAACUGGCUUUGCAAACAGAUGCAUAUCUACAAGAGGGACUAAAGGAAAAAGAAACGGUGCAAGCUAUCUACAAGAUUGCAUCUGCCCUCUCCAUUAUUGUAAAAAAAAAAAAAUAAAUAAAUUAUUCUGUGAGCAGAAUGCUUUGGAAAAACAACCAUUGUGUGGAACACCUUAGGCAAACUAUGAAUCGUGUGAAAUCAACCAAGUCCAUGAUAAUUUCCUUAGAGUAAUAGUUUCUGACAAGAAAACAUGUAUUACAACAACCGUGGAUCAAUUCUCUGUCUUUAUACACAAUAACCAGACCUUUUGUCCAAUUAAUAAUACUUCAUUUUUAUACAGGACAAGAUUUUGAUUAGACGAAUGUAUGGUGGAGAUUUGGUUAUUGCAUACUCUAGUUUAGUUUAGAAUGUAACUUUUAAAAUUGCUUUAUGUACGUUUGUGUCUUUCUAAUUAUGUGUCAAUGCAUUUUGUUAUUCUGUAUGUGUGUUAUGGUAGAAAGCGCCAAAUCACAGAUAAUUCAGUGAUCAAUGUUGGACGAUCCCUUUGGUGGUGAUGAUGAUUCUUGAUGACAGCUUCCAAACCCUAGAUCUCAAUUUAACAAACAAGUGUGUUUAAACAAAAACGGUGAUAAUUUAGCUCAAAAUGAAAUAGAGCUCAAUCCAGUGUGCAUGAGGCGUCGACCCAAAGACGGGUAAGAUUUUCCAAGGCCAGUGGGGAACAACCUAAGGCAGGGCGUCGCCGCCACUGGCACCUGCCAAGAAAGUUUGGUGUAAUUUGUGUGAAAGAGUAGAUUUGAUGCUUCUUUUCUAGGCCAAAGAGCAUCAGAGGGGACUGUAAGAAACUAAGUCUGCCUCGACCCAACUUCUACUUUAUUUCACAAGUCUUCCAUGCUCCUUUCUUAACAAAGAGCUUAAUUAUCACAGAGAGGAGAGUUCCUCAAGUAAAUCAUUUAAGCAUUUAAAUAAUGUCUUUGGAAUGAUAAUUUACUUCUUAUAGCAUGGGAGCGGCAGCGAGCCAUCAAGAACCAUCUGCUGACCAAAAGGAAUUUUGAUUAAACUCAUUUAUCAUAACAGUUGGUAUUCUCACCUGAAAGUCUACUCAAGGUCUGGGAACGGAAGAGUAUCACUUUUAUUGUUGUUCUCAAUUUACAUUCAAAGCAAAAGCUUAUUAACAUGUUAAGCGGGUAUACCGAAAGGUCUGGGAUUGCUAUUUUUAAUUUACAUUUGAAGUGAAAGCUUAUUAACAUGUUAAGCGGGAAGAAACAGUAUAAGAUGUUUAAACCGAGGAUGAUCGGGAUUCAGUUCCAACUCCGAUGAAUCCGAAGUGUUGUCUCCACUUUGACACUACUUUUCUGGAAUAAAACUUAUUUUUUUCUU